This 166-nucleotide non-coding RNA is filed under the name Polytomella parva. The record is from RNAcentral. Lineage: Eukaryota; Viridiplantae; Chlorophyta; Chlorophyceae; Chlamydomonadales; Chlamydomonadaceae.
AAACGGAAAAGAAGAGGAAGAAGAACCAUGGUGGUCGUAUGGAGUUGAGGGCAUGCAAAUGUGGUUUACGUCUUCCCUUGCCUCUCCCUUGCCUCUUCCUUCCUCUUCUUUUUCCUCGUCUUUAACUGCGAGUACUUCUGCUGCUGCUCCUCCUACUCCUCCUACU